This is a small nucleolar RNA of Ornithorhynchus anatinus (platypus), 138 nucleotides long. NCBI's taxonomy places the organism in Eukaryota, Metazoa, Chordata, Mammalia, Monotremata, Ornithorhynchidae. The record is from RefSeq and is a predicted model, not a curated record.
ACCCUCUCAAGAUCUCACCUGGAGAGUUCCCAUUACUCUACCGGUCUCGACAUUGGGAGGGAGAGUCAAGCUGAGGCAUUUUCAUUCCAUUCCUAGCUUGGGCAGUGACUAGCGACUGGAAGGCAAUCUGCUACAAAU